GACGAACGCUGGCGGCGUGCUUAACACAUGCAAGUCGAACGGUGAAGCGCCUUCCUUUUUGGUGGGUGUGGAUGAGUGGCGAACGGGUGAGUAACACGUGAGUAACCUGCCCCCUUCUUCUGGAUAACCGCAUGAAAGUGUGGCUAAUACGGGAUAUUCUGGGUCUGUCGCAUGAUGGGUCUGGGAAAGAUAUUGUUUCGGUGGGGGAUGGGCUCGCGGCCUAUCAGCUUGUUGGUGGGGUGAUGGCCUACCAAGGCGGUGACGGGUAGCCGGCCUGAGAGGGUGGACGGUCACACUGGGACUGAGACACGGCCCAGACUCAUACGGGAGGCAGCAGUGGGGAAUAUUGCACAAUGGGCGCAAGCCUGAUGCAGCGACGCCGCGGGAGGGAUGGAGGCCUUCGGGUUGUGAACCUCUUUCGCCAGUGAAGCAGGCCUGCCUCGUUUGUGGGUGGGUUGACGGUAGCUGGAGAAGAAGCGCCGGCUAACUACGUG
RNAcentral lists this ribosomal RNA (494 nucleotides) under uncultured bacterium. RNAcentral describes it as "partial 16S ribosomal RNA". It matches the Rfam family "Bacterial small subunit ribosomal RNA", at positions 28 to 507 of the family's 1533-position model. The record is from RNAcentral.